AUUGCAACCAAUACAACAGAUAGAGAAAAAUGUGCAAACAUUGAUAGAAUAGAAAACAAUUGCAAACAAUACAACAAAUAGAGAAAAAUAUGCAAACAUUGAUAGAAUAGAAAACAAUUGCAAACAAUAAAACAAAUAGAGAAAAAUAUGCAAACAGUGAUAGAAUAGAGAACAAUGCAAACAAUACAACAAAUAGAGAAAAUAUUGCAAACAGUGAUAGAAUAGAGAACAAUGGCAAACAAUACAACAAAUAGAGAAAAAUAUGCAAACAGUGAUAGAAUAGAAAACAAUUGCAAACAAUAAAACAAAUAGAGAAAAAUAUGCAAACAUUGAUAGAAUAGAAAACAAUUGCAAACAAAACAACAGAUAGAGAAAAAUAUGCAAACAGUGAUAGAAUAGAAAACAAUUGCAAACAAUAAAACAAAUAGAGAAAAAUAUGCAAACAUUGAUAGAAUAGAAAACAAUUGCAAACAAUACAACAGAUAGAAAAAAAUAUGCAAACAGUGAUAGAAUAGAAAACAAUGGCAAACAAUACAACAAAUAGAGAAAAAUAUGCAAACAGUGA
This 565-nucleotide long non-coding RNA is filed under the name Mytilus galloprovincialis (Mediterranean mussel). Lineage: Eukaryota; Metazoa; Mollusca; Bivalvia; Mytilida; Mytilidae. The record is from RNAcentral.